Macrostomum lignano is the source of this 84-nucleotide non-coding RNA. Lineage: Eukaryota; Metazoa; Platyhelminthes; Macrostomidae. The record is from Rfam.
GUCAGGAUGGCCGAGUGGUCUAAGGCGCUGCGUUCAGGUCGCAGUCCUCUUCUGAGGGCGUGGGUUCGAAUCCCACUUCUGACA